GAGAGUUUGAAACUUGGUGGAUAGAGAAGAUACUAUGGAGACGUGUUUUACUCUCAGCAUUUGGAUAUUCAACCUCCUAGGUGCUGCGCUGGGAGACUCGGUUCAGUCCAAUGAACCCGAAGUGUCUGAAUCAGUUAGAGGUUCUGUGACACUGAGCUGUUCUUACACCACCAGCGCUGCCUAUGCCUAUCUUUUCUGGUACCGCCAGUAUCCUAACCAAGCCCUGCAGUACAUUCUCUGGAAGGGAGCGAAGUCCGCCAACGGUACCAGCCACACUGAAGAUUUCGCCCAGCAGAGGUUUUCGUCCCAGGCCGAUGACAGCUCUACAGUUCUGAGCAUCACCUCCCUGGAGCCGGCAGACACAGCGGUGUAUCUCUGCGGCUUGCAGAGAGCACCGUGA
This is a non-coding RNA of Mauremys reevesii (Reeves's turtle), 400 nucleotides long. NCBI's taxonomy places the organism in Eukaryota, Metazoa, Chordata, Testudines, Geoemydidae. The record is from the annotation of a RefSeq genome assembly.